This 517-nucleotide ribosomal RNA is filed under the name uncultured kinetoplastid. RNAcentral describes it as "bacterial SSU rRNA". It matches the Rfam family "Eukaryotic small subunit ribosomal RNA", at positions 615 to 1026 of the family's 1831-position model. The record is from RNAcentral. Lineage: Eukaryota; Euglenozoa; Kinetoplastea.
GCUGUUAAGGGUUCGUAGUUGGAGUCAGAGAUGUAGGUGAUGCCGGUGGGCUCCGGUCCAUACCGGCUAUUGCCUUGCUCGUUGAAUACGGAACAGAGCGCCUGCGGACUCCCCCUCAGGGGUGAUGCAUCCACCGCAUAUAUCGUGCAGGGCGCAUCCGUAGUAUCACUGUGAACAAACAGCGUGUCCAAAGCAGUCCUAUGACUGAAUGUAAAAGCAUGGAAUGACAAGGGAUCGCCAUUGGUGCCACCCCCCUUGUUGGUUUAUGAGGCCCAAAGGAGAGACGAGUUUGCGCGUCUAGCGUGUUCAGAACGGAAGGGAAACCGACCGGGACGUCACGUAAGGCCGCUGCUCGCUGGGAUCAACAGGGGCUGUCGGGGGAAGACGUAUGGGAAUGCGAGAGGUGAAAUUCUGUGCCAUUCCCAGACGAACCGAUGCGAAGGCUUCUUCCAAGUAUGCCUUCAUUAAUCAAGACCAAAGCGUGGAGAUCGAAGAUGAUUAGAUACCAUUGUAGUCC